Long non-coding RNA from Cucumis melo (muskmelon), 623 nucleotides. RefSeq lists it as uncharacterized. Lineage: Eukaryota; Viridiplantae; Streptophyta; Magnoliopsida; Cucurbitales; Cucurbitaceae. The transcript has 4 exons. The record is from RefSeq and is a predicted model, not a curated record.
CUUAUUUGUUUCAAGGAGUUCAUGAGUGACUAUCACAAACACUUCAAAAAGUACAGUGACCUUGAACGGACAUGUGCCAACCCACUGCACAUGUGUGUGAGACGUAUGGAAGCUUGGCACUUCUUCUGCAAUCACUACAUAAGCCGUGCAUUCCAAGAACAAUUACGAACGAACAAGACUGCUAGACAAAAGCAACCUUACAAUCAUAGCAGUAAGUCAAUUUGUUUCUACAACGACAGCAUGAGCUCGCUAAGCAACGAGUCUCAGCCUACCCUAAAGGGUUCUCAGCCAUUCUCUGGUGAAUAUGUGAGACUGUUUUGGGUAGACGACCGGGCUAUUCAAAAGAUCUUGGUCGGGGACCCAAGCCCAAGUCCCACAAGACGAUGACUAGUGCUAGCAGUUUCUUGACAUGUAUUUGCAAUCCAAAGAAAGACAUAAGAGAUGUUGACUUCACAAGUGGAACAAAUGCAGAAGCUCAUAGAAGAAAUGAGUUGAGAAUAGAAAGGACCAUGAUCCCUAUGGUCCCGUCAGUGUAGAAUGGCGUAUGCGACUUGGUAGGAGAUGUACGUAGUUUUUUUGUUUCUAUGUAUUUUUUUUUACAUUUACUAUUUUUUUAGUCGGUG